AAUCGAACCUGGAGAUAGCUGGUUCUCUCCGAAAUAGCUUUAGGGCUAGCCUCAAGUGAUGAUUAUUGGAGGUAGAGCACUGUUUGGACGAGGGGCCCCUCUCGGGUUACCGAAUUCAGACAAACUCCGAAUGCCAAUUAAUUUAACUUGGGAGUCAGAACAUGGGUGAUAAGGUCCGUGUUCGAAAGGGAAACAGCCCAGACCACCAGCUAAGGUCCCAAAAUAUAUGUUAAGUGGAAAAGGAUGUGGCGUUGCCCAGACAACUAGGAUGUUGGCUUAGAAGCAGCCAUCAUUUAAAGAGUGCGUAAUAGCUCACUAGUCGAGUGACACUGCGCCGAAAAUGUACCGGGGCUAAACAUAUUACCGAAGCUGUGGAUUGUCCUUUGGACAAUGGUAGGAGAGCGUUCUAAGGGCGUUGAAGCAUGAUCGUAAGGACAUGUGGAGCGCUUAGAAGUGAGAAUGCCGGUGUGAGUAGCGAAAGACGGGUGAGAAUCCCGUCCACCGAUUGACUAAGGUUUCCAGAGGAAGGCUCGUCCGCUCUGGGUUAGUCGGGUCCUAAGCUGAGGCCGACAGGCGUAGGCGAUGGAUAACAGGUUGAUAUUCCUGUACCACCUAUAAUCGUUUUAAUCGAUGGGGGGACGCAGUAGGAUAGGCGAAGCGUGCGAUUGGAUUGCACGUCUAAGCAGUAAGGCUGAGUAUUAGGCAAAUCCGGUACUCGUUAAGGCUGA
Molecule: ribosomal RNA, 728 nt
Filed under: Staphylococcus aureus
Lineage: Bacteria; Bacillati; Bacillota; Bacilli; Caryophanales; Staphylococcaceae
Description: partial 23S ribosomal RNA
Rfam family: Bacterial large subunit ribosomal RNA
Source: RNAcentral